UAGAGUUUGAUCCUGGCUCAGAAUCAACGCUGGCGGCGCGCUUAACACAUGCAAGUCGCACGAGAAAGUGGAGCAAUCCAUGAGUACAGUGGCGUACGGGUGAGUAACACGUGGAUGAUCUACCUCUUAGUGGGGAAUAACCCUGGGAAACCGGGGCUAAUACCGCAUAAUCUCGAGAGAGGAAAGCAGCAAUGCGCUGAGAGAGGAGUCCGCGGCCGAUUAGCUAGUUGGGAGGGUAAGAGCCUACCAAGGAGGAGAUCGGUAGCCGGCCUGAGAGGGCACACGGCCACACUGGCACUGAAACACGGGCCAGACUCCUACGGGAGGCAGCAGUGGGGAAUCUUGCACAAUGGGGGAAACCCUGAUGCAGCGACGCCGCGUGAGCGAUGAAGCCCUUCGGGGUGUAAAGCUCUUUCGGCAGGGAAGAUGA
RNAcentral lists this ribosomal RNA (430 nucleotides) under uncultured Actinomycetes bacterium. RNAcentral's name for it is "bacterial SSU rRNA". It matches the Rfam family "Bacterial small subunit ribosomal RNA", at positions 1 to 451 of the family's 1533-position model. The record is from RNAcentral. Lineage: Bacteria; Bacillati; Actinomycetota; Actinomycetes.